UUGUAGUCUGCAACUCGACUACAUGAAGCUGGAAUCGCUAGUAAUCGCGAAUCAGAAUGUCGCGGUGAAUACGUUCCCGGGUCUUGUACACACCGCCCGUCACACCAUGGGGUCGGAAAUGCCCGAAGUCAGUGACCUAACCGAGAGGAGGACGCCGCCGAAGGUGGGAUUGAUGACUGGGGUGAAGUCGUAACAAGGUAGC
RNAcentral lists this ribosomal RNA (202 nucleotides) under uncultured bacterium. RNAcentral's name for it is "partial 16S ribosomal RNA". It matches the Rfam family "Bacterial small subunit ribosomal RNA", at positions 1298 to 1500 of the family's 1533-position model. The record is from RNAcentral.